RNAcentral lists this ribosomal RNA (252 nucleotides) under uncultured bacterium. RNAcentral's name for it is "partial 16S ribosomal RNA". It matches the Rfam family "Bacterial small subunit ribosomal RNA", at positions 116 to 354 of the family's 1533-position model. The record is from RNAcentral.
CGUGGAGAACCUGCCGUAUACUGGGGGAUAACACUUAGAAAUAGGUGCUAAUACCGCAUAAGCGCACAGCUUCGCAUGAAGCAGUGUGGAAAACAAAAAGCUAAAGCUUUUGGUGGUAUACGAUGGAUCCGCGUCUGAUUAGCUAGUUGGCGGGGUAAAGGCCCACCAAGGCGACGAUCAGUAGCCGGCCUGAGAGGGUGAACGGCCACAUUGGGACUGAGACACGGCCCAGACUCCUACGGAAGGCAGCAG